GCAGCAGCCACGGUAAUACGAAGGGUGCAAGCGUUAAUCGGAAUUACUGGGCGUAAAGCGUGCGUAGGCGGUGAGUUAAGUCUGCUGUGAAAUCCCCGGGCUCAACCUGGGAAUGGCAGUGGAUACUGGCUCGCUAGAGUGUGUCAGAGGAUGGUGGAAUUCCCGGUGUAGCGGUGAAAUGCGUAGAGAUCGGGAGGAACAUCAGUGGCGAAGGCGGCCAUCUGGGACAACACUGACGCUGAGGCACGAAAGCGUGGGGAGCAAACAGGAUUAGAUACCCCGGUAGUCCCUGUCUCUUAUAC
RNAcentral lists this ribosomal RNA (302 nucleotides) under uncultured bacterium. RNAcentral describes it as "partial 16S ribosomal RNA". It matches the Rfam family "Bacterial small subunit ribosomal RNA", at positions 508 to 807 of the family's 1533-position model. The record is from RNAcentral.